Molecule: ribosomal RNA, 204 nt
Filed under: Vibrio sp. TMPB1044
Lineage: Bacteria; Pseudomonadati; Pseudomonadota; Gammaproteobacteria; Vibrionales; Vibrionaceae
Description: partial 23S ribosomal RNA
Rfam family: Bacterial large subunit ribosomal RNA
Source: RNAcentral
CAGUCAGAGGCGAUGAAAGGCGUAAUAACUUGCGAUAAGCCCAGAUUAGGUAGUAAUAACCUUUUGAGUCUGGGAUUCCUGAAUGGGGAAACCCACUUACAUAAGUAAGUAUCCUGUUGUGAAUACAUAGCAACAGGAGGCAAACCGGGGGAACUGAAACAUCUAAGUACCCCGAGGAAGAGAAAUCAACCGAGAUUCCGAAAG